This 484-nucleotide ribosomal RNA is filed under the name uncultured bacterium. Its description in RNAcentral is "partial 16S ribosomal RNA". It matches the Rfam family "Bacterial small subunit ribosomal RNA", at positions 30 to 507 of the family's 1533-position model. The record is from RNAcentral.
AUUGAACGCUGGCGGCAGGCCUAACACAUGCAAGUCGAGCGGAUGAAGGGAGCUUGCUCCUGGAUUCAGCGGCGGACGGGUGAGUAAUGCCUAGGAAUCUGCCUGGUAGUGGGGGAUAACGUCCGGAAACGGGCGCUAAUACCGCAUCCGUCCUGAGGGUGAAAGUGGGGGAUCUUCGGACAUCACGCUAUCAGAUGAGCCUAGGUCGGAUUAGCUAGUUGGUGGGGUAAAGGCCUACCAAGGCGACGAUCCGUAACUGGUCUGAGAGGAUGAUCAGUCACACUGGAACUGAGACACGGUCCAGACUCCUACGGGAGGCAGCAGUGGGGAAUAUUGGACAAUGGGCGAAAGCCUGAUCCAGCCAUGCCGCGUGUGUGAAGAAGGUCUUCGGAUUGUAAAGCACUUUAAGUUGGGAGGAAGGGCAGUAAGUUAAUACCUUGCUGUUUUGACGUUACCAACAGAAUAAGCACCGGCUAACUUCGUG